Molecule: long non-coding RNA, 601 nt
Filed under: Mytilus galloprovincialis (Mediterranean mussel)
Lineage: Eukaryota; Metazoa; Mollusca; Bivalvia; Mytilida; Mytilidae
Source: RNAcentral
CUUUUGUCGUAAAGUUUUGUUUUCAACCGACCCUCAUUGUCAAUUUCUAGAUGUAAGUCAAGAUAUGAGGCCGACUUAACUCUAUCUGUAGUAUCCUUUAUCUGUAGCUCGAUUGGAUAGAUGCGUUCCACAUAGUCACCAAAUUUUGAAUUAUUUAGUGAAAUAACAGUUAAAGUUUUUAAUAACUUCCCGGUCGAUCCUGCAAAAGUUAUGUUAUAUUUGCCAAUGGACGUGUACAACCAAGAAUCAAUAAGAACACAUAGGAUUCAUUUUUCUCUUUAGUAUUCUAAAGGUUUAAUUGUAAUGGAAAACCCGCGUUCAACAUCUCAAUUCGUCAUGUCAUCAGUUUUUUUGUAUUUGAACAAAUAUAUGAUUUAACAUUAAUAUUUUAGUUUACUCAACAGUCUGCAACAUUAUCUUUGCCGCAUGUCUAGAAAACCUCUAAUGAGUAACUUAUAAUAGCUGACAGCCUCGAUCAUUUAUUGUAUGUCACUAAGGGGGCUGGACUUCACCUCAUUUAUUCGAAUAAUAACUACACACUCAACAUAUAUGUCAAGAUGAUAUUAUUGAUGAUUCAAUGAAUAAAUGCACAUAAAUAGAC